GGACCCUAACUUUAGGUAUCUAUUUUGGAAAAUAAUGGCUUUACAUGUUAGAUGCUCCUAGUAGCCUGCUUAGUGAGAAUACUUAGAACAUAUUGUUAUGCUGUGAUGCCAUUAAAAAUAUCAGACCUGAAGUGUUUUCUGCAAGCGAAGAAGCUCCCACCAUCCAUACUUUUCUACAGAGCUUUCCAUCAAUGCUAGCAUUCAUCCUAUAUAACACGCAACUUCUUGAAAGAACACAUUGGAGAGAAAGGAACCUCUGACCCAAGAGAAAAAAAAAUGAACCUUUGUGUGCUGCCCUCCUGGGACAUGUGACGCCUUCUAUAAGUUGCCCCUUUGGAAUUUUUUGUUUGAAACCAGUGUUGAUAUCUGCAAAUAUCUCUUAUUUUGCCAGUUAUAAAAGACUGUAUGUCUGAUGGCUGGGAUGUGUGUAAGGAGGCCUUGGCUGGAGGGUCUUUGGGGAAUUCAAGGAGAGCGGAGAGGUUUUGGGCACCUCCCCAGUAUGCACCGAGGAAGGAGUCUCCAGAAUCAGUGAUGUACAGUAAGCAUAGGAAGACUCUCAUGCACACAGCUCUACUUCGCCUAAUGGAAUCAAGGGGAGAUCAAAGUAGCAUGCUUGCUUCAAACACUUUCAGAUAAAUUUGCUUUUUUUAUUUAAUGCUAUAUGUAAAUACAUAUUCCAAAAAAAAGGCACAAGUUAUUUUGAGAGCCUCAGUUCUUCUAGUCUAACUAGAAAUGCAUUACUAGCAUCUGAUUUUCAGAGGGAAGCUGCUCAGUGCUUUCUCAGAAUCAUGUUACUUUAAAGCGGGGGUAGCUAGCCUAUAGUGCAUGUGCCAUGUGGGCAGCCUUUGUAUGUGGCGUGCGGCAGAUCAGGGAGGGAACAGGCAGCCUAGCAGUAUACAAGACAAGAAGCAGAAAUCAAAGUAGCAGAUUGGGCAGGGAACAUAGAACAGAAAGCAGAUCAGCAGAUUGGCCAAAAGUAGUAAACUGGAGUGACACUAGGGGAGGGUGCAGGAUUAAGUUGUGGCACACCUGUCAAGAACACCCCAAAUUGUUGUUUACUAUUGAAAUUAACCAUCCAUCCAUCCCUCUAAAAUUUAAACCAGUUGCCCACAGCAGUGUCUAUCCAUAAAUCACAUUUUAAACAUCAUUUUUUUUUAUUUGCCAAAGCUUUGGCUUCCAUUUUAAUAUGGCAAUGCUAGCAUUUUAAGUGUAUUUUUUUGAGGCCUCUGGAGUGUUGUGGUGGAUAGGCACCAUAUAAAUAACAUUUAUUGUUAUUAUCAUUAUAUGUCACAUUCACUCUGUUUUGCUACCAUUUAAUAAACCAUUCAAGCAAUGUUGUUGCAAUGUAUAAUAUUAGCAAUAUGCUCCUUAGGGGACUAUAUAACUGGAUAUUUAAUAUUCUAUCUGUUUCCCAGCCCGUCUUUACACCAGCACAGAUGCUACAUAGCGUUCAAAGUUCAAUGUAAAAAAAAAUGGCGUGGGUAUGCAAAGAUCAAAAAAUCCUACAACACACACUGUUGUAACUCACAAAAUGUACAUUGCUGUCAAAAUUCUGCUAGAUUAGAUAAUAUUCAAUUAAUGGAACUGCCUGUAGCUUUAGGGAUGUAAUUUCAUGCCCUUCCUCUGAUACUGUGUAUAGUGGUUUGUCUGUUUAAAAGCUGGCCUCCCUUUCCUUGCACUUGCAAUUAGCACUGUACCAAUCAGUAAUGUUUUGGUGUGGUAGAAAAAUCAAAACACUUGGAAAACCAAAUUGCGUAAGGAUGACCAGUAAUGAACAUGUUAUGGUUUUCUCACUGAAUAAAAACCCAAAGAAAAUGUUGUAUCACAGUGGAUGAAUCAUUUAACUCAACCUGAAAUAGAAUAUUUGGUUUUCAGUAUUUUUUUUUUUAAUUUGUUCUACAUUAAUGCCUUUAGUCACCCUGAAAAUGUGUGUUGUUUUUUUGUUUUUGUUU
This is a long non-coding RNA of Alligator mississippiensis (American alligator), 1952 nucleotides long. RefSeq lists it as uncharacterized. Lineage: Eukaryota; Metazoa; Chordata; Crocodylia; Alligatoridae. The record is from RefSeq and is a predicted model, not a curated record. The transcript has 3 exons.